AUGGAGAGUUUGAUCCUGGCUCAGGAUGAACGCUAGCGGCAGGCCUAAUACAUGCAAGUCGAACGGUAACAGGACCAGCAAUGGUCGCUGACGAGUGGCGCACGGGUGCGUAACACGUAUGCAAUCUACCUUUAACUGGAGAAUAGCCCCGAGAAAUCGGGAUUAAUACUCCAUAAUAUUAUGAAGUGGCAUCACUUUAUAAUUAAAGCUCAGGCGGUUAAAGAUGAGCAUGCGCGAUAUUAGCUAGUUGGUGAGGUAACGGCUCACCAAGGCUACGAUAUCUAGGGGAUCUGAGAGGAUUUACCCCCACACUGGUACUGAGACACGGACCAGACUCCUACGGGAGGCAGCAGUAAGGAAUAUUGGACAAUGGGCGCAAGCCUGAUCCAGCCAUGCCGCGUGCAGGAUGACGGCCCUAUGGGUUGUAAACUGCUUUUGUACGGGAAAAAACCCUUCUACGUGUAGAAGGCUGAUGGUACCGUAAGAAUAAGGAUCGGCUAACUCCGUGCCAGCAGCCGCGGUAAUACUGAGGGUGCAAGCGUUGUCCGGAUUUAUUGGGUUUAAAGGGUGCGUAGGCGGCUCAUUAAGUCUGGGGUGAAAGCCCGUUGCUCAACAACGGAACUGCCCUGGAAACUGGUGAGCUUGAGUACAGACGAGGUUGGCGGAAUGGAUGCUGUAGCGGUGAAAUGCAUAGAUAGCAUCCAGAACCCCGAUUGCGAAGGCAGCUGACUAGGCUGUAACUGACGCUGAGGCACGAAAGCGUGGGGAGCGAACAGGAUUAGAUACCCUGGUAGUCCACGCCGUAAACGAUGGAUACUCGCUGCCGGCGAUACAAUGUCGGUGGCUUAGCGAAAGCGUUAAGUAUCCCACCUGGGGAGUACGCCCGCAAGGGUGAAACUCAAAGGAAUUGACGGGGGCCCGCACAAGUGGUGGAGCAUGUGGUUUAAUUCGAUGAUACGCGAGGAACCUUACCUAGGCUAGAAUGCGCGUGACCGCCUCAGAGAUGAGG
Molecule: ribosomal RNA, 1009 nt
Filed under: Anophryoides haemophila
Lineage: Eukaryota; Ciliophora; Oligohymenophorea; Philasterida; Glauconematidae
Description: partial Bacterial small subunit ribosomal RNA
Rfam family: Bacterial small subunit ribosomal RNA
Source: RNAcentral